RNAcentral lists this ribosomal RNA (759 nucleotides) under uncultured rumen protozoa. RNAcentral's name for it is "bacterial SSU rRNA". It matches the Rfam family "Eukaryotic small subunit ribosomal RNA", at positions 985 to 1831 of the family's 1831-position model. The record is from RNAcentral.
GAAGAAGGAUCAGAGCAAUCAGAUACUUCGUUGUUCCUAUCUAUGACUAUGCGACUAGGGAUGAAUGGAACAUCACAUUUCAGUACCUUAUGAGAAAUCGAAGUCUUUGGUUCUGGGGGAGUAUGUCGCAAGGACUGAGACUUAAAGAAAUUGACGAAGGCACCACAGAGUGAGCUGCGGGCGUGAGUGGGACUCAACACGGCGAAACUUACCAGGUCCAGACAUAGUAGAGAGUAGACGAGAGUGAUAGCUCUUUCAUGAUUCUAUGGGUGGUGGUGCAUGCCGUUCUUAGUUGGUGGAGUGAUUUGUCUGGUUAAUUCCGAUAACGAACGAGACCUUAACAUGCUAACUAGAUAUUUUCAUUUUAUGAAUAUAUCUUCUUAGAGGGACUAUAUGCUUUAAGUAUAUGGAAGUUGAGGCAAUAACAGGUCUGUGAUGCCCUUAUAUGUCCUGGGCUGCACGCGUGCUACACUGAUAUAUACAACAAGUGCCUAGCUAGAUAUAGUAUGGCAAUCUCGAAUAUAUAUCGUGAUGGGGAUAGAUCUUUGCAAUUAUAGAUCUUGAACGAGGAAUUCCUAGUAAGUGCAAGUCAUCAUCUUGCAUUGAUUAUUUCUCUUCCCUUUGUACACACCGCCCGUCAAGCUCCUACCGAUACCGGGUGAUCCGGUGAACCUGUGGACCCUUAUGGGAAAAAUAAGUAAAUCAUAUCACCUAAAAAAGAAGUCGUAACAAGUAAAGGAUCCCGGGCCUUUCGCCAGA